AACAGCUUGUCAGCCACCUCGGUAGCUUGCUAGACAAAAUAGCCGAACCAAUAAAUCUCUUUAGACGCUUUAGUGUAUAUUAGCCACUGUGUUUUAAACCCUCUUCUGUCGUCUAGUUAGUUAUCAGUUUUAAUUUAAUAUUUAUGGUGUUGUUGUUAUUAGUCAGCUAGCGGGCUGGUUAAGUUAGCAUUAGCCUAGCUAGCUAGCAUUCCCGACCAUGAGUUCACUAAGCUACUCUCCUCCUGCUAAAGAAGAGGUCUGCUGGACGGAGAAAGAGGGCCUGUGGCUGAACGUUGUCGUGAAAGAGGAAGAGGAGGCUGUCACAAUACAAAAACAAGUAUAGGGUGAGGCUGUUACAGUGAAAGAAGAAGAGGAAGACGUUUCAGUGAAAGAAGAGGAAGACGUGUUCAGAAUGAAAGAGGAAGAGGAUGUUACAGUAAAGAGGAGAAAGAGGAGGAGGGUGAGAUGACUGUCACAUUGGAAGAAGAGGAGGAAACUGGAUAUCUGGGCCCGGUUUCCCAAAGGCAUGUUAAGGCAUCUAAUUGUUCUAACGAUGAACGGGCCCUGAUUAACACUAAAGACGUGGUCUGCUGGACGGAGAAAGAAGCUCUCGUCAAAGAGGAGGAGGAAGAGUAGGAUGUUACAGUAAAACAAGAAGUAGAGGGUGAGGCUGUUACAGUGAAAGAAGAAGAGAAAGACGUUUCAGUGAAAGAAGAGGAAGACGCGUUCAGAGUGAAAGAGGAGGAGGAUGUUACAGUAAAAGAAGAGGAGAAAGUGGAUGAUGCAGCUUUUGGAGUGAAAGAGGAGGAGGGGGAGAUGACUGUCACAUCGAAAAAGGAGGAGGAUGAAGAGGAGGAAACUGGAUUUCCUUUCAUCCAAGCUGGCCCUGGUUAAUAUGUUUGUGUUAUUGUCGCAAAUCAACUGAUUUAUAGUUAAACACUUCAACUAGAAAAAUGCUCUUUGGCUAGCUUUGCCAUCAGCAUGACAAUAAGUACACUAAGUUUUUAACCAAUUUGUGUUUCCAAACCCUCCCUUGGGCGUAUUAUCAGGGGGCAGAAAUCUCAAAGAUGAAUUGGUAAACUCUGAUUUACUACCCCACACAUUGCUCAAUGCAAUGGCACUUGUAAAUGUAGAUCCUUCAAACACAAAUAGGGAAACAGAUCCCAAUCAAAGGUGUUAUCACGUGCACCACUAAGGCAGUUAUUUAUCUUACAACUUGUCCUUGUGGUAAAAUGUAUAUGACGUAUCCAGUUGCGACCCACUUUUUGGAAGCGAAACCCUUGAUUUCGUCCCUACAUUAUAUCGGCAUUUAAUACAUCACCCUCCCUAGGAGAGGGGGUGACCUCGACAAUUUAUUGUUAAAACGAGAGGCUGCCUGGGUCUUUAAUUUAAAGAGCCUUGCUCCCGUCAGUCUCAACGUAGCCAUUAUUGUAAUAUUGCUGUUCAUUGUUAACGGUUGGAGGUCUAUGGAGCCAAAUUGUAUCUAUGACCGUAUGCUCUCCAUUUAUGUUUUUAUAUGUUCUAUUUAUAUCUGUAAAUUAACCAAUGAUAGCAGGCCACACCCGGACAUGAUUACAGACACCUGUGUGUGUCCUUUGACACAAUAUAAACCAGUUACCUGCAGUGUUUGUCAUUAUACCCUGACAAUGACAGCUUGUCUGUGAAAACGUUGGUAUUUGGUUAUUAAAUUAUUGCAUUUGAGCUCCUAGAGUGUGAGGUUCUCCUUUUCUUUUUCAGGCCACCGGGGUCUGACAACUUGGAUGGAAAAUGACUGAGGAUAUUAGCAAUGCUAUUGCCACUCCUAUUUGCCAUAUCUUCAAUAUCACCCUCCUAGAAAGUGAGAAACCCCUACCUUGUCAAAACACAACUGAUUGGCUCAAACAGAUUAAGGAAAGAAAUUCCACAAAUUAACUUUUAAUUAUACAUUUUUCUGUGACAAACUGAAUUAGUUAUUGAUUUUUACCGCUUUUAAAAUGGCAUUUUAUAGAUGUAUGUAUUUCUACUAAAUCAAAACUGGAAUUUUUAUUCAUAAAAGGUUGUAAAAGUAUGCUAGACAUUUAAAGAAUAAAACAUACCUAGUCUGAUGUUUCUGUAACAAUCAAUUAAUUAGUUAUUGAUUUUUACAAUUUUAAAAUGUCCAAUGUCUGUUGAAUGUAUGAAUAUAAAUCCAACUUUACCUCAGUCUUAA
Oncorhynchus nerka (sockeye salmon) is the source of this 2188-nucleotide long non-coding RNA. RefSeq lists it as uncharacterized. The transcript has 2 exons. NCBI's taxonomy places the organism in Eukaryota, Metazoa, Chordata, Actinopteri, Salmoniformes, Salmonidae. The record is from RefSeq and is a predicted model, not a curated record.